This 84-nucleotide transfer RNA is filed under the name Staphylococcus borealis. RNAcentral's name for it is "tRNA-Phe". It matches the Rfam family "tRNA". Rfam says of the family: Transfer RNA (tRNA) molecules are approximately 80 nucleotides in length. Their secondary structure includes four short double-helical elements and three loops (D, anti-codon, and T loops). Further hydrogen bonds mediate the characteristic L-shaped molecular structure. tRNAs have two regions of fundamental functional importance: the anti-codon, which is responsible for specific mRNA codon recognition, and the 3' end, to which the tRNAs corresponding amino acid is attached (by aminoacyl-tRNA synthetases). tRNAs cope with the degeneracy of the genetic code in two manners: having more than one tRNA (with a specific anti-codon) for a particular amino acid; and 'wobble' base-pairing, i.e. permitting non-standard base-pairing at the 3rd anti-codon position. Lineage: Bacteria; Bacillati; Bacillota; Bacilli; Caryophanales; Staphylococcaceae. The record is from RNAcentral.
GGAGGGGUAGCGAAGUGGCUAAACCGCGGCGGCCGGAAAAUCCGCUCCUUCGGUUCGGCAGUUCGAAUCUGCCCCCCUCCACCA